CAAAGUGCUGGGAUUCCAGGCGUGAGCCACCGCGCCGGGACCCAAGGCCCUUAAGUUUUAAGGCCUCAUUCUUCAGUCAGGUUUUCCCUGUUCCCGCGUGUUCGGCCAAUUUUUUGUUGUUGUUGUUUUGUUUUUGUUUUUGUUUUUGAGUCAAUUUUCCAGACAUCUUUAAUUAGCAAUAUGUUUAAGUAGUUACAAGCCUUUCCUUCUUUUCUUGUGACAGUUUGGGUUGAAUUUCUAUCGUUUGCAGCCUGUCACUGUAAGGCACAAACAUGAUCACGCAAGAUGCGAUAGUAGAUUUAAGCCAGUUGUUUUUAAGUUUGUGUUUAAGGAGAAACUAACAAUGAAAACGGCCUCGUUGACGGAGGAAAAGUUGGAAUGCAGCCUCUGGUGCUGUUUGAGCGAUCCCUCUCCCCGGGGCCUGGCCGCGCGCUGCUGUGUUCUGGAAGGGCUCAUUGUACAGUCAAGGCGGCAGGGCCUUCUUCUGUCACCCAUGCUGGAGUGCAGUAGCAUGAUCACAGCUCACGGUAGCCUCCACCUUCUGGGCUCAAUCCUCCUACCUCAGCCUUCCAAGUAGCUGGGACUACAGGACUGGAUCUCAUUUAUCUUUCUGGGAAUAGCGCCAUCUCUAAAGACUCCAAGUUAACCCACUUCAUAGCUAAUCAUUCCAGUCUAGACACUAAAUAUUGCAGUGUCAGUCAACAUUCCCAGGGCCAGAUCUUACCUCACACCUCAGGGUCAUAACUCUCUUGACUACAUUGGGUUCUGUCCUACUUUUCUCAUUCUUGGCCAUGUGUAUUUUGUCCUAUCCUGGGAACAAGGAGAGGAGGCAAGAGCUUUCUCUUGCAUUUCCAUGUUAACCUUACUACCACAUUCUUCCCAGAAAGCCAGGAAAUACAAUGCCAAUGUUUUCCAUUCAGUUUAUAUUUCAUGUAUAAUUAACUUUUGUGUUGAACAUGAAUAAACUGAAAAUUUCUUGAAAUAGAAACAA
Molecule: long non-coding RNA, 991 nt
Organism: Homo sapiens (human)
Lineage: Eukaryota; Metazoa; Chordata; Mammalia; Primates; Hominidae
Source: Ensembl